This 234-nucleotide long non-coding RNA is filed under the name Fukomys damarensis (Damara mole-rat). RNAcentral's name for it is "lncRNA (ENSFDAG00000030076.1)". Lineage: Eukaryota; Metazoa; Chordata; Mammalia; Rodentia; Bathyergidae. The record is from RNAcentral.
GUCCGGCGGCCCGGCCUGGAAGGGUAGCCGGGGUGAGGGGAAGAAAUCGCUCAGGGAGUCGACCUUCACUUCCUCCUCCUACUUCCUCCACUCCCCAGCGAAAUGCUUCCUUUCUUCUUCCUCGAGGGUGUUCCCUUUCCCUUAGAGUAGCUCAAGUGGUUGGAAAGACAGCUGAAGAGAGAGUGAGUACUCAGCAUGGGAGAAAUGAUAGAACUGCCAUGUGUUGUAAAGGCC